Molecule: long non-coding RNA, 672 nt
Filed under: Homo sapiens (human)
Lineage: Eukaryota; Metazoa; Chordata; Mammalia; Primates; Hominidae
Description: HSALNT0323448
Source: RNAcentral
UUCUGGAGGCUGAGGAGCCCCAGGUUGAGGGGCUUCAUCUGGUGAGAGCCUUCUUGCUGGUGGAGACUCUGAAGAGUCCCGAAGUGGUGUGGGGAAACAUAUGAGCUCAGAGAUCCCAAGAGGCAAAGCGGGGAAAGAAUAAGAAGAAUUGGCCAAAUGCAAUGUACCUUGAAGAAGUUUAAGAAUAUUAAUUCACAUCAAGUCAAAAUCGUCACCAUUAUGAAAGUAAUUACAACAACCACUGCUUUUGCUUAUUUUCCAUUUAUGCGAUUCAGCAGUACAAGCAAAAUGAGUUUUAGAAAUCAUUUCACUCUGGAAAGCUUUCAGAUCACAGAUUCCUGCUCAUAAGUGGAUAAAUGAUGCAGUAAAAUUGAACAAACACAGCUCGUCCUACAUUCUGAAGAUGGGGCACAUUUAUCAGAAGAGAAAAACUGCCAGAGAGAAUUCACAUCAGUGCAGACCGAGAGUCUCAGAUGGCUAAGAGAUGUGCCUGACAACUUUUCAGAAAUAAGACUAUUAAAAGAAGGUCAGCUUGGAGUCUUACUGCGAAGAAUUAUAAACAGGCACGUGGAUUAUAAAUAGGGAGUUGGCAUGGUGGUUAAAUUUUUCUAAAACAGUCAUAUUAAUGUGUUCAAAAAUCCACUGCUGAGUCUCAGAGAGAGGGUCACAUCU